ACGGAAGGCAGCAGUGGGGAAUAUUGGGCAAUGGGCGAAAGCCUGACCCAGCAACGCCGCGUGAAGGAAGAAGGUCUUCGGAUUGUAAACUUCUUUUAUGAGGGACGAAGGACGUGACGGUACCUCAUGAAUAAGCCACGGCUAACUACGUGCCAGCAGCCGCGGUAAUACGUAUGGAGCAAGCGUUAUCCGGAUUUACUGGGUGUAAAGGGAGCGUAGACGGCCUAGCAAGUCUGAAGUGAAAGCCCGGGGCUCAACCCCGGAACUGCUUUGGAAACUGUUAAGCUAGAGUACAGGAGAGGUAAGCGGAAUUCCUAGUGUAGCGGUGAAAUGCGUAGAUAUUAGGAGGAACACCAGUGGCGAAGGCGGCUUACUGGACUGUAACUGACGUUGAGGCUCGAAAGCGUGGGGAGCAAACAGGAUUAGAUACCCUGGUA
This 437-nucleotide ribosomal RNA is filed under the name uncultured bacterium. Its description in RNAcentral is "partial 16S ribosomal RNA". It matches the Rfam family "Bacterial small subunit ribosomal RNA", at positions 341 to 792 of the family's 1533-position model. The record is from RNAcentral.